GAAGCACGAAAUGAACAAAGCCAAAGAGGAAAGAGAAACAGAACCAGGAACUGUGUGUGCUUUGUUUCUUCUUUGUUCACUUGGCUUAUUUCGUGCUUCACUCUCA
This 106-nucleotide non-coding RNA is filed under the name Symbiodinium sp. CCMP2430. The record is from RNAcentral. Lineage: Eukaryota; Dinophyceae; Suessiales; Symbiodiniaceae.